This 57-nucleotide transfer RNA is filed under the name Camelus bactrianus (Bactrian camel). It matches the Rfam family "tRNA", at positions 8 to 63 of the family's 71-position model. From Rfam's summary of the family: Transfer RNA (tRNA) molecules are approximately 80 nucleotides in length. RNAcentral also lists the same sequence under 3 other names. The record is from Rfam by way of RNAcentral. Lineage: Eukaryota; Metazoa; Chordata; Mammalia; Artiodactyla; Camelidae.
UAGCUCAGUGGUAGAGUGUGUGCUUAGCAUGCACGAGGUCCUGGGUUCAAUCCCCAG